GAUGAACGCUGGCGGCGUGCCUAAUACAUGCAAGUCGAGCGAACAGACCAGGAGCUUGCUCCUCUGACGUUAGCGGCGGACGGGUGAGUAACACGUGGAUAACCUACCUAUAAGACUGGGAUAACUUCGGGAAACCGGAGCUAAUACCGGAUAAUAUAUUGAACCGCAUGGUUCAAUAGUGAAAGACGGUUUUGCUGUCACUAAUAGAUGGAUCCGCGCCGCAUUAGCUAGUUGGUAAGGUAACGGCUUACCAAGGCAACGAUGCGUAGCCGACCUGAGAGGGUGAUCGGCCACACUAGAACUGAGACACGGUCCAGACUCCUACGGUAGGCAGCAGUAGGGAAUCUUCCGCAAUGGGCGAAAGCCUGACGGAGCAACGCCGCGUGAGUGAUGAAGGUCUUCGGAUCGUAAAACUCUGUUAUUAGGGAAGAACAAAUGUGUAAGUAGCUAUGCACGUCGUGACGGUACCUAAUCAGAAAGCCACGGCUAACUACGUG
RNAcentral lists this ribosomal RNA (497 nucleotides) under uncultured bacterium. RNAcentral's name for it is "partial 16S ribosomal RNA". It matches the Rfam family "Bacterial small subunit ribosomal RNA", at positions 28 to 507 of the family's 1533-position model. The record is from RNAcentral.